RNAcentral lists this ribosomal RNA (253 nucleotides) under uncultured bacterium. RNAcentral describes it as "partial 16S ribosomal RNA". It matches the Rfam family "Bacterial small subunit ribosomal RNA", at positions 524 to 776 of the family's 1533-position model. The record is from RNAcentral.
UACGUAGGGUGCAAGCGUUGUCCGGAAUUAUUGGGCGUAAAGAGCUCGUAGGCGGUCUGUCGCGUCUGCUGUGAAAACUCAGGGCUUAACCCUGAGCUUGCAGUGGGUACGGGCAGACUAGAGUGCGGUAGGGGAGACUGGAAUUCCUGGUGUAGCGGUGAAAUGCGCAGAUAUCAGGAGGAACACCGGUGGCGAAGGCGGAUCUCUGGGCCUUACCUGACGCUGAGGCGCGAAAGCGUGGGGAGCAAACAGG